Molecule: ribosomal RNA, 400 nt
Filed under: phytoplankton environmental sample
Lineage: Eukaryota
Description: partial small subunit ribosomal RNA
Rfam family: Eukaryotic small subunit ribosomal RNA
Source: RNAcentral
AGCUCCAAUAGCGUAUAUUAAAGUUGUUGCAGUUAAAAAGCUCGUAGUUGGAUUUCUGUUGGGAGCCGCCAGUCCGCUCUUCGGAGUGUGCACUUGGUAAAUCUCAGCAUCCUCCUGGUAUUGCGUGUUUCAUCUCACGGUGAGGUGCGUAUUUCCAGGACUUUUACUUUGAGAAAAUUAGAGUGUUUCAAGCAGGCUUGUGCCUUGAAUACUGCAGCAUGGAAUAAUAAGAUAGGAUUUCGGUUCUAUUUUGUUGGUUUCUAGGACUGAAGUAAUGAUUAAUAGGGACAGUUGGGGGCAUUCGUAUUUAACUGUCAGAGGUGAAAUUCUUAGAUUUGUUAAAGACGAACUACUGCGAAAGCAUUUGCCAAGGAUGUUUUCAUUAAUCAAGAACGAAAGU